Molecule: ribosomal RNA, 253 nt
Filed under: uncultured bacterium
Lineage: Bacteria
Description: partial 16S ribosomal RNA
Rfam family: Bacterial small subunit ribosomal RNA
Source: RNAcentral
GACGGAGGGUGCAAGCGUUGUUCGGAAUUACUGGGCGUAAAGCGCGGGCAGGUGGCUCUUUAAGUCCUUUGUGAAAUUCCGGGGCUCAACUCCGGAUGUGCAUAGGAUACUGGAGAGCUAGAGACUGGUAGAGGCGAGCGGAAUUCCUGGUGUAGCGGUGGAAUGCGUAGAUAUCAGGAAGAACACCGGUGGCGAAGGCGGCUCACUGGCCCGGUACUGACGCUGAGGUGCGAAAGCGUGGGGAGCAAACAGG